GCAUGGUUGUCGUCAGCUCGUGUCGUGAGAUGUUGGGUUAAGUCCCGCAACGAGCGCAACCCUUGAUCUUAGUUGCCAUCAUUAAGUUGGGCACUUUAAGGUGACUGCCGGUGACAAACCGGAGGAAGGUGGGGAUGACGUCAAAUCAUCAUGCCCCUUAUGACCUGGGCUACACACGUGCUACAAUGGACGGUACAAAGAGCUGCAAGACCGCGAGGUGGAGCUAAUCUCAUAAAACCGUUCUCAGUUCGGAUUGUAGGCUGCAACUCGCCUACAUGAAGCUGGAAUCGCUAGUAAUCGCGGAUCAGCAUGCCGCGGUGAAUACGUUCCCGGGCCUUGUACACACCGCCCGUCACACCACGAGAGUUUGUAACACCCGAAGUCGGUGGGGUAACCUUUUUGGAGCCAG
RNAcentral lists this ribosomal RNA (409 nucleotides) under Bacillus cereus. RNAcentral describes it as "bacterial SSU rRNA". It matches the Rfam family "Bacterial small subunit ribosomal RNA", at positions 1043 to 1452 of the family's 1533-position model. Lineage: Bacteria; Bacillati; Bacillota; Bacilli; Caryophanales; Bacillaceae. The record is from RNAcentral.